CCUACGGGAGGCAGCAGUGAGGAAUAUUGGUCAAUGGGCGCGAGCCUGAACCAGCCAAGUCGCGUGAGGGAAGACGGUCCUAUGUAUUGUAAACCUCUUUUGUCGGGGAGCAAAAGACGCCACGCGUGGCGUUCCGAGAGUACCCGAAGAAAAAGCAUCGGCUAACUCCGUGCCAGCAGCCGCGGUAAUACGGAGGAUGCGAGCGUUAUCCGGAUUUAUUGGGUUUAAAGGGUGCGCAGGCGGAAGAUCAAGUCAGCGGUAAAAUUGAGGGGCUCAACCUCUUCGAGCCGUUGAAACUGGGAUUCUUGAGUGAGUGAGAAGUAUGCGGAAUGCGUGGUGUAGCGGUGAAAUGCAUAGAUAUCACGCAGAACUCCGAUUGCGAAGGCAGCAUACCGGCGCUCAACUGACGCUCAUGCACGAAAGUGUGGGUAUCGAACAGGAUUAGAUACCCUUGUAGUC
This 459-nucleotide ribosomal RNA is filed under the name uncultured bacterium. RNAcentral describes it as "partial 16S ribosomal RNA". It matches the Rfam family "Bacterial small subunit ribosomal RNA", at positions 338 to 795 of the family's 1533-position model. The record is from RNAcentral.